UUUAAGUAUAUGAGGUGAUUAAUUGGAGGGCAAAUCAAGUGCCAGCAGCCGCGGUAAUACUUGUUCCAAGAGUGUGUAUGAUGAUUGAUGCAGUUAAAAAGUCCGUAGUUUAUUUUUUAAAACAAAGGGAGAAUUGGGAAAAAAGAAUGGACACCCAA
This 158-nucleotide ribosomal RNA is filed under the name Vairimorpha ceranae. RNAcentral's name for it is "Nosema ceranae partial small subunit ribosomal RNA". It matches the Rfam family "Microsporidia small subunit ribosomal RNA", at positions 352 to 509 of the family's 1311-position model. The record is from RNAcentral. Lineage: Eukaryota; Fungi; Microsporidia; Nosematidae.